Molecule: ribosomal RNA, 465 nt
Filed under: uncultured bacterium
Lineage: Bacteria
Description: partial 16S ribosomal RNA
Rfam family: Bacterial small subunit ribosomal RNA
Source: RNAcentral
GACGAACGCUGGCGGCGUGCUUAACACAUGCAAGUCGAACGGAAAGGCCCCCUUGUGGGGUACUCGAGUGGCGAACGGGUGAGUAACACGUGAGUAACCUACCCUUGACUUUGGGAUAACUUCAGGAAACUGGGGCUAAUACCGGAUAGGAGCUCCUGCUGCAUGGUGGGGGUUGGAAAGUUUCGGCGGUUGGGGAUGGACUCGCGGCUUAUCAGCUUGUUGGUGGGGUAGUGGCUCACCAAGGCUUUGACGGGUAGCCGGCCUGAGAGGGUGACCGGCCACAUUGGGACUGAGAUACGACCCAGACUCCUACGGGAGGCAGCAGUGGGGAAUAUUGCACAAUGGGCGGAAGCCUGAUGCAGCAACGCCGCGUGCGGGAUGACGGCCUUCGGGUUGUAAACCGCUUUCGCCUGUGACGAAGCGUGAGUGACGGUAAUGGGUAAAGAAGCACCGGCUAACUACGUG